UCUCCGUUGGUGAACCAGCGGAGGGAUCAUUACAGAGUUUUCACACCUCCCAACCCUUGCGAACCGUACCCCUUCUGUUAUCGUUGCUUCCGGCCUGGUGCACGAGGAGGAGCGAAACGGCCCCCCCUCCCCGCCCGCCCGGGGCGGCGGACCCUACGAACCUUUAUAUCUCCACCACCAACAACCGCCUGCGAAAACAACCCAACUAAUCAAAACUUUCAACCACGGACCUCUUCUCUCUGGCAUCGCUGAAGCACCCCGCAGAUCGUAAUGGCACCC
RNAcentral lists this unclassified non-coding RNA (279 nucleotides) under plant metagenome. Its description in RNAcentral is "partial contains small subunit ribosomal RNA, internal transcribed spacer 1, and 5.8S ribosomal RNA". The record is from RNAcentral.